GACGAACGCUGGCGGCGUGCUUAACACAUGCAAGUCGAACGGACAGGCCUUGCAGUUGUGGGGUGCUCGAGUGGCGAACAGAUGAGUCACCCGUGAGUAAACUGCCCUUGACUUUGGGAUCCCUAUAGGAAACGGUGGCUAAUACCAGCUAGGACUACCUGCUGCUAGGUAGGGGUUGGAAAGGAUCAGCGGUUGAGGAUCGACGUGCGGCUUAUCGGCUUGUUGGUGGGGGAGUGCAUUACCAAGGCUUUGACGGAUAGGCGGCCUGAGAGGGUGACCGGCCACAUUGGUACUGCGAGACGGACCAGACUCCUACGGGAGGCAGCAGUCGCGAAUAUUGUGCAACAGGCGGAAGCCUGAUGCAACAACGCUGCGUGCGUGAUGACGUCUUGUUGGUUAUGAACGGUUUACGCAGUAAAUGGAGCGUGAGUGACGGUAAUGGGUAAAGAAGCACCGGCUAACUACGUG
RNAcentral lists this ribosomal RNA (468 nucleotides) under uncultured bacterium. RNAcentral's name for it is "partial 16S ribosomal RNA". It matches the Rfam family "Bacterial small subunit ribosomal RNA", at positions 28 to 507 of the family's 1533-position model. The record is from RNAcentral.